UACAGAGGGUGCGAGCGUUACUCGGAAUUACUGGGCGUAAAGCGUGCGUAGACGGUUAUGUAAGUCGGAUGUGAAAGCCCCGGGCUCAACCUGGGAAUUGCAUUCGAGACUGCAUGGCUUGGGUGCGGAAGAGGGAAGCGGAAUUUCCGGUGUAGCGGUGAAAUGCGUAGAGACCCGGAGGAACACCAGUGGCGAAGGCGGCUUCCUGGUCUGCGACUGACGCUGUGGCGCGAAAGCUAGGGGAGCAAACGGG
RNAcentral lists this ribosomal RNA (253 nucleotides) under uncultured bacterium. RNAcentral describes it as "partial 16S ribosomal RNA". It matches the Rfam family "Bacterial small subunit ribosomal RNA", at positions 524 to 776 of the family's 1533-position model. The record is from RNAcentral.